UACGGAGGAGGCAAGCGUUAUCCGGAAUUACUGGGCGUAAAGGGCGCGUAGCCGGCACGACAAGUCGGGAGUGAAAGCCCGGGGCUCAACCCCGGAAUGUCUCUCGAAACUGUCGAGCUAGAGUGCAGAAGAGGCAACUGGAAUUCCCAGUGUAGCGGUGAAAUGCGUAGAUAUUGGGAAGAACACCUGAGGCGAAGGCGGGUUGCUGGGCUGACACUGACGCUGAGGCGCGAAAGCCAGGGGAGCGAACGGG
This 253-nucleotide ribosomal RNA is filed under the name uncultured bacterium. RNAcentral describes it as "partial 16S ribosomal RNA". It matches the Rfam family "Bacterial small subunit ribosomal RNA", at positions 524 to 776 of the family's 1533-position model. The record is from RNAcentral.